This 253-nucleotide ribosomal RNA is filed under the name uncultured bacterium. RNAcentral's name for it is "partial 16S ribosomal RNA". It matches the Rfam family "Bacterial small subunit ribosomal RNA", at positions 524 to 776 of the family's 1533-position model. The record is from RNAcentral.
UACGUAGGGGGCGAGCGUUGUCCGGAUUCAUUGGGCGUAAAGCGCGCGUAGGCGGCCCCGCAAGUCGGCCGUGAAAUCUCCGGGCUCAACUCGGAGGGGUCGGGCGAGACUGCGAGGCUCGAGGUGGGCAGAGGGCAGUGGAAUUCCGGGUGUAGUGGUGGAAUGCGUAGAGAUCCGGAGGAACACCAGUGGCGAAGGCGGCUGCCUGGGCCUGGCCUGACGCUGAGACGCGAAAGCGUGGGGAGCAAACAGG